Non-coding RNA from Marmota flaviventris (yellow-bellied marmot), 911 nucleotides. The record is from RefSeq and is a predicted model, not a curated record. Lineage: Eukaryota; Metazoa; Chordata; Mammalia; Rodentia; Sciuridae.
UGAGUGCCCCUGAGUUCAAUCCCCAGUACCAAAAAAGAAAAGAAAAAAAAAAAAAUGGAUGAGGUGAAAUUACCAAAACUCAGAUUACACCACAGGCCCAACAGAUAGUGGGGUACUUGGAAUAAUAACAAAACACACACACACUUUCUGGUACCUUUGUUAUGGGCACUUGAAUGGUGCUGCUUCACAGAGGCUGCCCCUCCAGUCAUGAGGAUCUCAGACCAGAGCUCCAGGAAGUUCUGCUGUUGAUCUGAUACCAAGAGUACCUUGAGAUUCUGGAAAGGGUUUUCACGUGGUUGCCUAUGAAGGAUUCAGAGAGAGCAAGCCCUUUGGAAUUGGAAAGGAUCUUAGCAUGACAGAUAAUGACCAACAAACAGCCAUUCUGCAAAGAAACUCAGAUUCUUCCAAAAGCUUGCUGUCUUCCUAUCUCUUCAGCUCUGGAUGGGCUCUCAAAUACUCACCAAUCCAGAAUUUUUUGCUCCUCAAGGCUGUACCCAGCUGGCAGCAGAUAAUUACGGUAGUUCUGAAGCUGGUUGGCAUGGCAACUGUCAUGGACCCAGACAUGAGACACACAAGGAAUCCCACUGGCAAGGCACAGAAAGUACUUCCGGGUUCGACAAUGUUGAUCCGCAAUUAGGAGACACUGGUAGGCUGUGUUACACUGGAAGGAACAGAACAGAUGGAAAGAUCUUCACUCUAAUAAGCUAUGGAGAAGAGCUUGGAAGACUUUCAGAUUCUUCCAAAAUAUGAUUUAGUCUGUCCUUGUGACUGAGGCCACUUUUCUCAAAAACUCAAAAUGUUUCCCUAAACAUUCUCCCUGACUCUCAUCUGAGGACCUAAGUCCUUUUAGGAACAACCAAAACCCAUGUAUUUGAUAUAUCUAUUAAAUAUUUAUCUGUGUGUGUAACAUA